RNAcentral lists this non-coding RNA (85 nucleotides) under Clostridium sp. RNAcentral describes it as "SAM-I sequence". It matches the Rfam family "SAM riboswitch aptamer (S box leader)". Rfam says of the family: The SAM riboswitch is found upstream of a number of genes which code for proteins involved in methionine or cysteine biosynthesis in Gram-positive bacteria. Lineage: Bacteria; Bacillati; Bacillota; Clostridia; Eubacteriales; Clostridiaceae. The record is from RNAcentral.
AUCUUAUAAAGAGCGAUGGAGGGACUAGCCCAAUGAAAUCGCACCAACCUAUUAAAUUAGGUGGUAAUGCUAGAUUCUAUAAGAU